AUACGUGUUGUAGUAUUCCGGAAUUUUAAAUGUAGGUUGGUUUUAGAGGAUAAUAUCGUUAUGAACUUGUAUCCGGUGUUUACUUUUUCGGAAAAUCGAAAGAUUUGCCCCCACGCUUAUGUUCUUUCAGAAAAGAUAUCCAUUGAACAAAUCAUCUGAAAACUAAAUAAGGAGGAAGAAUACUUCUGUUAAAAAGUUGAAGUAACUGAUGAGCAGAUCAAUCCAACUUGAACAUGAUAUCAUUUCUCCAAUGAUGAAAACAAAUCUCUCUAUACUCAAGCAUUGAUAUUUUUAAAGUCAACUGAAACUGGAACAGGACAUACAUGCAGACUACAGUGAUAUGUUGCACAGUUCCGAAAACACGCAGCCACUAGCAUAAGCAUGAUAAGUGUUAGUGGGUCCUCAAAAAAUUAGAACCACUCAGGGACU
Long non-coding RNA from Saccostrea cuccullata (small rock oyster), 429 nucleotides. RefSeq lists it as uncharacterized. The transcript has 3 exons. Lineage: Eukaryota; Metazoa; Mollusca; Bivalvia; Ostreida; Ostreidae. The record is from RefSeq and is a predicted model, not a curated record.